CCAGCAACAUCCAAUUCAGAGGCCCAGUAGCGAGGCCCAGCAACAACUCUUGUUUAAGCCCAACACAACUUUUUGUUUAAAGCCCAGCACAACUCACUGUACAAAUUUAUAAAACACAGUUAAAAACCAUAAAAUAUAUUAACAAAUAAUGGAAUUGACACCCUAGGGUUUUUGUAUACGAACUCCCUCGUUCAUUCUUCACUGCCUUGUCUACCCCCGCAGCUUUUCCAGGAUCACCGAUGGUUCGUGUCGUGUUUUCAGUUUGAGAUUUACUGGAAUACAGUCGUUUAUAAGUUGAAGCUUUGAGUUGAAUUUCCACACUUGAACCUCCAUACAUCCAUCUUCCUUUUGUUUUGGAACGCUGAUGUUUUCAUGUAUAUUCCAUGGGCUUGGGGUCAUGACAUAGACAAUUUGAGCUUCAUUCUUGUUUUGUCGAACUAGAUCUCUUACUAUCAACGGGCAGUGCAACCCGACACAGUUUUCUGAAAGCUUAUAAACAAGGUAACACGAGUAAACUGUAUCAUGUGACAACAUCUGACUUUGAAUUUUGCACUUGAUACGAAAUUUGUGUUGUCAUGGUAGCUCAAUCGCCUCUUGAAAUCUGCAUCAAUUGAACAUAAUUUUUUACGCAACCUAAUAUACAUAUAUGAAUUGUUUGUUUGGAUUAGAAGAUCAUAAAACAAACCUCGACUUGACUGAGGGGUGCACGUGAAAUGCUUUAGAUUGGCAGAUUCAUACAAAACUUCCACUGCUGAAAGCAUAAGAUGUUUCUUUGUGUCGGCUUCUUUUAAGGAUAAACACUGUUUAUCAAAGGGUUGAAUAUAAUUUUAUUUAUUACCAAACAAUAUUAAUAAUCUCCUGAGUAUUUUUACUUGAUCCGUGUUUGAGUCCGAAUUCAAAGUUUCUUUGACUUGCUCAACUUCUUCGUUUUUCACCUGUUUAAAAUUUACAAGACCAUAGUAUAAAAUUGUUGUUGUAAUAGAUACAUCCAUCAUCGUUUUAAAAGAUGAAGAAUUGUAGAAUGGAAACUUAUGUCUCGGAACUCAAUUCCCUCAACAUAGAUGGAUUCAGUUCCACAAUGGUAUCUUGAAAAGCUUUCAAGUAGAACCUCAAAAUCAGUAUCUUUCUUGUCACACAAAAAUCGACACAAUUCAAUCUUCAUCCACUUGUCGUUUCUCCACGUUGCAAAAUAUACAUGUAAGGUCUCGCCUCCCAUUUUGUACUUUAGGUUCACAUAUAUUUGUUUAUUUGAAGCUUUUCUUGUAUCACGAAAUUUAAAGAUAAUAUAAGCCCCGUAUUUGACUCCUGGAGAUAAAAACUGUGUUGUUAUCUUGACUGGGAUCUUCAGCUUCGAGGUAUAAAACACCUCUACUACUUUUGGAAACCUGCAUGGAUUAAAAGAUAUUCAAUUAAGUUUAUAUUCGUCAAUAAAUGUUUAUCCAGACUCUUAAAGCGGUUAUUUACUGAUAUCUAAUAGACCCCGUAUACGAACCUUGAUUCCUGAAGAGAACGCCAUUUGUAUGAAGUAUGAUUUUUGUACAGAAACAUUCUUGCAGAUAUCAUUUCAUUUCUUUCUCCAUUACUGCCAAGUGAAAACAACUACAUACAAGACAAAAUGAAUCAAGCACAAAUUCUAUCAGAAUUAAAUUAAAUGAUUGUAUGAUUUUGGAACAUUAUAUCUCUUUUAGUAGUUAAACAUAUAUUUUUCUUAAAAGAGUUGAGAAAAUGAUAUAAAUCAAUGUUUUGUAUUUAAAGAAAUAUUCACACAAAAUAGUUAAGUGAAAUGAAAUAUUAGAAAUUAGUUGUUUUCACUUGGCAGUAAUGGAGAAAGAAAUGAAAUGAUAUCUGCAAGAAUGUUUCUGUACAAAAAUCAUACUUUAUACAAAUGUCGUUCUCUUCAGGAAUCAAGGUUCGUAUACGGGGUCUAUUAGAUAUCAGUAAAUAACCACUUUAAGAGUCUGGAUAAACAUUUAUUGACGAAUAUAAACUUAAUUGAAUAUCUUUUAAUCCGUGCAGGUUUACGAAAGUAGUAGAGGUGUUUGAUACCUCGAAGCUAAAGAUCCCAAUCAAGAUAACAACACAGUUUUUAUCUUCAGGAGUCAAAUACGGAGCUUAUAUUAUCUUUAAAUUUCGUGAUACAAGAAAAGCUUCAAAUAAACAAAUAUAUGUGAACCUAAAGUACAAAAUGGGAGGCGAGACCUUACAUGCAUAUUUUGCAACGUGGAGAAACGACAAGUGGAUGAAGAUUGAAUUGUGCCGAUUUUUGUGUGACAAGAAAGAUACUGAUUUUGAGGUUCUACUUGAAAGCUUUUCAAGAUACCAUUGUGGAACUGAAUCCAUCUAUGUUGAGGGAAUUGAGUUCUGAGACGUAAGUUUCCAUUCCACAAUUCUUCAUCUUUUUAAACGAUGAUGGAUGUAUCUAUUACAACAACAAUUUUAUACUAUGGUCUUGUAAAUUUUAAACAGGUGAAAAACGAAGAAGUUGAGCAAGUCAAAGAAACUUUGAAUUCGGACUUAAACACGGAUUAGGUAAAAAUACUCAAGAGAUUAUUAAUAUUGUUUGGUAAUAAAUAAAAUUAUAUUCAACCCUUUGAUGAACAGUGUUUAUCCUUAAAAGAAGUCGACACAAAGAAACAUCUUAUGCUUUCAGCAGUGGAAGUUUUGUAUGAAUCUGCCAAUUUAAAGCAUUUUCACGUGCACCCCUCAGUAAAGUCGAGGUUUGCUUUAUGAUCUUCUAAUCCAAACAAACAAUUCAUAUAUGUAUAUUAGGUUGCGUAAGAAAUUAUGUUCAAUUGAUGCAGAUUUCAAGAGGCGAUUGAGCUACCACGACAACACAAAUUUUGUAUCAAGUGCAAAAUUCAAAGUCAAUGUUGUCACAUGAUACAGUUUACUCGUGUUACCUUGUUUAUAAGUUUUCAGAAAACUGUGUCGGGUUGCACUGCGCGUUGAUAGUAAGAGAUCUAGUUCGACAAAACAAGAAUGAAGCUCAAAUUGUCUAUCUCAGGACACCAAGCCCAUGGAAUAUACUUGAAAACAUCAGCGUUCCAAAACAAAGGGAAGAUGGAUGUAUGGAGGUUCAAGUGUGGAAAUUCAACUAAAAGUUUCAACUUAACGACUGUAUUCCAGUAAAUCUCAAAUUGAUAACUUAUGAGGGAACUAUGUCCGGCCUUAUUGUAUGUGGCCCCGGUUAAACCAACAGUUACAGUACCUAAAUGUUUAUAUAUGUUGAUUUGGUGUCGUAUAUAUGAGUUGAAUCUUAAAAUAAAAUUUGGUGCUUUCAUUAGUUCUGUCUGACGUGAUGAAUAGAGAACCAAAAACAAGCCUUCAGGUAUUCGUUUGACUUUGACUUGUGGUUUUGAAUUUUGACUUUGACAUGUUCUUGAAUUCUUUUAUCUACGAAUGAACGUGUGCCGUGCAAAAGCACCUGAUCGAUGCAGUUUGGACCAACGUCUCUAUAACAGACGAGUUUCUUCCCAGAGUCAAUCAUUCGGUCCGGAUAUGGUUUCUGUUAAAUCAGUAGCUACAGUUGUAUACAUGGAUUAUAGAGUCAACUUACGGAUGGUGACUUCCUAUUAAUUUCUUAGUAGCUGAAAAUGGUUAAAUGAUCAGCUAUCAACGCUUAGAUCAAAUGUUCCCAAAAUAAGCAAGGUGGAUGGAUAAAAGUUCAAACCCGGAGCGUUAUCAACAAUGAGCACACUUGAAGCACUUGGUUUGACAUUCGACAAUGGGUCAUCAGUUGUUUUAAUGGUUGUUUAUUUCAAAGUUCAUAUUCUAAGGUACACGACAUACCCUUACCUUAACAAGACCUAAAUUUGGCAGACAAUUAACAAGCACCAAAAACUUUUCUAAAACACGCAAGGCAGAACGAACCAAGAGACAAAAUGCACUCGCUACAAGGGCUAAACACGGGCCACAAGACACAUCUAUUGUUAAGAGCGCUAGACAUCAUUCGGUUUUACGCGCCGCAACGCGUGCGAAGAAAAUCCUAGUUAAGAUGAAUAGUAAAUACACGAGGGGAAGAAAAGUUAGUACAUUUAAAAGUCAAACUAAUGAAUUUGGAGGUUUGUAUAGUACUUUUCUUUUCCAUCUCUUUAGAAAAAAUCAUAGACUUGACUUAAAAAAAAAACAAAUUUAGUUUUCGAAUUUUCGAAUUGGGUUUUCAGUCAAUUCGAAUUCAUAUUUCAGUUAUGUGAGU
Molecule: long non-coding RNA, 4195 nt
Organism: Helianthus annuus (common sunflower)
Lineage: Eukaryota; Viridiplantae; Streptophyta; Magnoliopsida; Asterales; Asteraceae
Exons: 5
Source: RefSeq, a predicted model, not a curated record